AUUUCUGGUGCUAUAUUCUGGGUCUUGCCCCUCGUCCUGUGCUUAUCAAGUUGUCUAGGCCUCACCAGUGUCCCUACUGUACGAAAUGUGAUCCUCUUAACAGCUCUGCUCUGUUUCAGUAACUCUCUGUCCUGGUAUGGUGAGGAAUCCUACAUCCACAGCAUGGAGCCAGGGGCUAAGGUAGUGACUUGGGCCUGAGGGCAUUGGGAGGUCCCAAGGGAAAGACAAGGGUGGGAUUGGACUGAGCAGAGGUGAUCAAGGGUGAAGACGGAGUAUGUAUUGUGGCACUUGCCACCCUACUCCAUCCUUAUUAAUUCCUGUCUCUUCCCCCAACCUGUCAGUGCUUUGCAGUCCGCUCUCUGGGCUGGGUAGAGGUACCUGAAGAGGACCUGGCACCGGGGAAGAGCAGUAUUGCAGUCAAUAACUGUAUCCAGCAGCUGGCCCAGACCCGCAGCCGGAGCCAGCCUCCAGAUGGUGCCUGGGGUGAGGGCCAGAACAUGCUGAUGAUCCUGAAGAAGAAUGCCAUGAGCCUAGUGAAUCCCCUGGACCACAGUCUGAUCCACUGCCAGCCUCUGGUGCACAUCCGUGUGUGGGGCGUGGGGAGCUCCAAAGGCCGGUGAGGAUGCCUACAUCCCCCAAGCAAGAGCUACUUCUCCCUCCCUGCUGCAGGCUGUGAUCCCCACUGUGCUGAUCCCCAGUACUUGAACCCCUGGACACAGAUCCUCUGAUGUGGACCCAGGACUGCUUCCCCUGCCUGGUCCAGCCCUGGUUGGGGAGGGUGGGCCCAGCUCAGCAGGGACAGAUGGGGGAGAGUCCGAGAGGCUGGGCUGAUUCCCUUCUGUGCUCCCACAUGCUUCCGGAACAGUGACAGG
Molecule: small RNA, 872 nt
Filed under: Pongo abelii (Sumatran orangutan)
Lineage: Eukaryota; Metazoa; Chordata; Mammalia; Primates; Hominidae
Description: retained intron
Source: RNAcentral